Molecule: long non-coding RNA, 5436 nt
Filed under: Citrus x clementina
Lineage: Eukaryota; Viridiplantae; Streptophyta; Magnoliopsida; Sapindales; Rutaceae
Description: Citrus clementina (C. clementina) long non-coding RNA (CCLE_LNC000043)
Source: RNAcentral
GCUGGGCGAGCUUGGCGCCCCGGCCUUCAGGCAGUUAAUUUUGGGCGGGGCUUUGCUCACGGCCUAUUUUUGGCACAUGGAGGCCCCUCGCAAAGUCUCGCGGCAUUCCGAGUCCGGCGGACGAAGUCGGCCAGCCCCACCCCCCAAGCCUAUAGCCCACCUGUUUUUGUGGCCUUUUUCCGCUGGACGAAAUUGGCGCCCCGGCCUUCGGGCAUUUAUUUUUGGGCGUGGCUUUGCCCGUAGCCUAUUUUUGGCAAACGGAGGUCCCUCGUAAAGUCUCGCGGCAUUCCGAGUCCAGCGGACGAAGUUGGCCAGCCCCACCCCCCAAGGCUAUAGCCCACCCGUUUUUGUGCCCUUUUUCCGCUGGACGAACUUGGCGCCCCGGCCUUCGGGCAGUUAUUUUUGGCCGCGGCUUUGCCCGCGGCCUAUUUUUGGCACACGGAGGCCCCUCGUAAAGUCUCGCGGCAUUCCGAGUCCGGCGGACGAAGUUGGCCAGCCCCACCCCCCAAGGCUAUAGCCCACCCGUUUUUGUGGCCUUUUUCCGCUGGACGAACUUGGCGCCCCGGCCUUCGGGCGGUUAUUUUUGGGCGCGGCUUUGCCCGCGGCCUAUUUUUGGCACACGGAGGCCCCUCGCAAAGUCUCGCGGCAUUCCGAGUCCGGCGGACGAAGUUGGCCAGCCCCACCCCCCAAGGCUAUAGCCCACCCGUUUUUGUGGCCUUUUUCCGCUGGACGAACUUGGCGCCCCUGCCUUCGGGUGGUUAUUUUUGGGCGCGGCUUUGCCCGCGGCCUAUUUUUGGCACACGGAGGCCCCUCGCAAAUUCUCGCGGCAUUCCCCCUCCGGCUGAAGAAGUUGGCCAGCCCCACCCCCCAAGGCUCUAGCCCACCCGUUUUUGUGGCCUUUUUCCGCUGGACGACUUGGCGCCCCGCCCUUCGGGCAGUUAUUUUUGGACGCGGCUUUGCCCGCGGCCUAUUUUUGGUACACGGAGGCCCCUCGCAAAGUCUCGCGGCAUUCCGAGUCCGGCGGACGAAGUUGGCCAGCCCCACCCCCCAAGGCUAUAGCCCACCCGUUUUUGUGGCCUUUUUCCGCUGGACGAACUUGGCGCCCCUGCCUUCGGGCGGUUAUUUUUGGGCGCGGCUUUGCCUACAGCCUAUUUUUGGCACACGGAGGCCCCUCGCAAAGUCUUGCGGCAUUCCGAGUCCGGCGGACGAAGUUGGCCAGCCCCACCCCCCAAGGCUAUAGCCCACCCGUUUUUGUGGCCUUUUUCCGCUGGACGAACUUGGCGCCCCGGCCUUCGAGCGGUUAUUUUUAGGUGCGGCUUUGCCCGCGGCCUAUUUUUGGCACACGGAGGCCCCUCGUAAAGUCUCGCGGCAUUCCGAGUCCGGCGGACGAAGUUGGCCAGCCCCACCCCCCAAGGCUAUAGCCCACCCGUUUUUGUGGCCUUUUUCCGCUGGACGAACUUGGCGCCCCGGCCUUCGGGCAGUUAUUUUUGGGCGCGGCUUUGUCCGCGGCCUACUUUUGGCACUCGGAGGCCCCUCGCAAAGUCUCUAGGCAUUCCGAGUCCGGCGGACGAAGUUGGCCAGCUCCACCCCCCAAGGCUAUAGCCCACCCGUUUUUGUGGCCUUUUUCCGCUGGACGAACUUGGCGCCCCUGCCUUCGGGCGGUUAUUUUUGAGCGCGGCUUUGCCCACGGCCUAUUUUUGGCACACGGAGGCCCCUCGUAAAGUCUCGCGGCAUUCCGAGUCCGGCUGACGAAGUUGGCCAGCCCCACCCCCCAAGGCUCUAGCCCACCCGUUUUUGUGGCCUUUUUCCGCUGGACGACUUGGCGCCCCGCCCUUCGGGCGAUUAUUUUUGGACGCAGCUUUGCCCGCGGCCUAUUUUUGGCACACGGAGGCCCCUCGCAAAGUCUCGCGGCAUUCCGAGUCCGGCGGACGAAGUCGGCCAGCCCCACCACCCAAGGCUAUAGCCCACCCGUUUUUGUGGCCUUUUCCGCUGGACGAACUUGGCGCCCCGGCCUUUGGGUGGUUAUUUAUGGGCACGGCUUUUCCCGCGGCCUAUUUUUGGCACCCGGAGGCCCCUCGCAAAGUAUCGCGGCAUUCCGAGUCCGGCGGACGAAGUUGGCCAGCCCCACCACCCAAGGCUAUAGCCCACCCGUUUUUGUGGCCUUUUUCUGCUGGGCGAACUUGGCGCCCCAGCCUUCGGGCGGUUAUUUUUGGGCGCGGCUUUGCCACUGGCCUAUUUUUGGCACACGGAGGCCCCUUGUAAAGUCUCACGGCAUUCCGAGUCCGGCGGACGAAGUUGGCCAGCCCCACCCCCCAAGGCUAUAGCCCACCCGUUUUUGUGGUCUUUUUCCGCUGGACGAACUUGGCGCGCCGGCCUUUGGGUGGUUAUUUAUGGGCACGGCUUUGCCCGCAGCCUAUUUUUGGCACACGGAGGCCCCUCGCAAAUUCUCACGGCAUUCCGAGUCCGGCGGACGAAGUUGGCCAGCCCCACCACCCAAGGCUAUAGCCCACCCGUUUUUGUGGCCUUUUUCCGCUGGACGAACUUGGCGCCCCGUCCUUCGGGCGGUUAUUUUUGGGCGCGGCUUUGCCCCCGGCCUAUUUUUGGCACACGGAGGCCCCUCGCAAAGUCUCGCGGCAUUCCGAGUCCGGCGGACGAAGUUGGCCAGCCCCACCCCCCAAGGCUAUAGCCCACCCGUUUUUGUGGCCUUUUUCCGCUGGACGAACUUGGUGCCCCGGCCUUUGGGUGGUUAUUUUUGGGCGCGGCUUUGGCCGAGGCCAAAUUUUGGCACACGGAGGCCCCUCGCAAAGUCUCGCGGCAUUCCGAGUCCGGCGGACGAAGUGGGCCAGCCCCACCCCCUAAGGCUAUAGCCCACCCGUUUUUGUGGCCUUUUUCCGCCCGGCCUUCGGGCGGUUAUUUUUGGGCGCGGCUUUGCCCACGGCCUAUUUUUGGCACACGGAGGCCCCUCGCAAAGUCUCGCAGCAUUCCGAGUCCGGCGGACGAAGUGGGCCAGCCCCACCACCCCAAGGCUAUAGGCCACCCGUUUUUGUGGCCUUUUUCCGAUAGACGAACUUGGCUCCCCGACCUUCGGGUGGUUAUUUAUGGGCGCGGCUUUGUCCGUGGCCUAUUUUUGGCACACGGAGGCCCCUCGCAAAGUCUCGCUGCAUUCCGAGUCCGGCGGACAAAGUUGGCCAGCCUCACCCCCCAAGGCUAUAGCCCACCCGUUUUUGUGGCCUUUUCCCACUGGACGAACUUGGCUCCCCGGCCUUUGGGCGGUUAUUUUUGGGCGCGGCUUUGCCCACGGCCUAUUUUUGGCAUACGGAGGCCCCUCGCAAAGUCUUGCGGCAAUCCGAGUCCGGCGGAUGAAGUUGACCAGCCACACCCCCCAAGGCUAUAGCCCACCCGUUUUUGUGGCCUUUUUCCACUGGACGAACUUGGCGCCCCGGCCUUCGGGGGGUUAUUUUUGGGCGCGGCUUUGUCCACGGCCUUUUUUUGGCACACAGAGACCCCUCACAAAGUCUNNNNNNNNNNNNNNNNNNNNNNNNNNNNNNNNNNNNNNNNNNNNNNNNNNNNNNNNNNNNNNNNNNNNNNNNNNNNNNNNNNNNNNNNNNNNNNNNNNNNNNNNNNNNNNNNNNNNNNNNNNNNUGGGCGCGGCUUUAUCCGUGGCCUAUUUUUGGCACACGGAGGCCCCUCGCAAAUUCUCGCGGCAUUCCGAGUCCGGCGGAAGAAAGUUGGCCAGCCCCACCCCCCAAGGCUAUAGCCCACCCGUUUUUGUGGCCUUUUUCCGCUGGACGAACUUGGCGCCCCAGCCUUCGGGCGGUUAUUUUUGGGCGCGGCUUUGCCCGCGGCUUAUUUUUGGCACACGGAGGCCCCUCGUAAAGUCUCGCGGCAUUCCGAGUCCGGCGGAUGAAGUGGGCCAGCCCCACCCCCCAAGGCUAUAGCCCACCCGUUUUUGUGGCCUUUUUCCGCUGGACGAACUUGGUGCCCCGGCCUUCGGGUGGUUAUUUUUUGGCGCGGCUUUGGCCGCGGCCAAAUUUGGGCACACGGAGGCCCCUCGCAAAGUCUCGCGGCAUUCCGAGUCCGGCGGACGAAGUUGGCCAGCCCCACCCCCCAAGGCUAUAGCCCACCCGUUUUUGUGGCCUUUUUCCGCUGGACGAACUUGGUGCCCCGGCCUUCGGGUGGUUAUUUUUGGGCGCGGCUUUGGCCGAGGCCAAAUUUUGGCACACGGAGGCCCCUCGCAAAGUCUCGCGGCAUUCCGAGUCCGGCGGACGAAGUGGGCCAGCCCCACCCCCCAAGGCUAUAGCCCACCCGUUUUUGUGGCCUUUUUCCGCCCGGCCUUCGGGCGGUUAUUUUUGGGCGCGGCUUUGCCCACGGCCUAUUUUUGGCACACGGAGGCCCCUCGCAAAGUCUCGCAGCAUUCCGAGUCCGGCGGACGAAGUGGGCCAGCCCCACCACCCCAAGGCUAUAGGCCACCCGUUUUUGUGGCCUUUUUCCGAUAGACGAACUUGGCUCCCCGACCUUCGGGUGGUUAUUUAUGGGCGCGGCUUUGUCCGUGGCCUAUUUUUGGCACACGGAGGCCCCUCGCAAAGUCUCGCUGCAUUCCGAGUCCGGCGGACAAAGUUGGCCAGCCUCACCCCCCAAGGCUAUAGCCCACCCGUUUUUGUGGCCUUUUCCCACUGGACGAACUUGGCUCCCCGGCCUUUGGGCGGUUAUUUUUGGGCGCGGCUUUGCCCACGGCCUAUUUUUGGCACACGGAGGCCCCUCGCAAAGUCUUGCGGCAAUCCGAGUCCGGCGGAUGAAGUUGACCAGCCACACCCCCCAAGGCUAUAGCCCACCCGUUUUUGUGGCCUUUUUCCACUGGACGAACUUGGCGCCCCGGCCUUCGGGGGGUUAUUUUUGGGCGCGGCUUUGUCCACGACCUUUUUUUGGCACACAGAGACCCCUCACAAAGUCUCGCGGCAUUCCGAGUCCGGCGGACGAAGUUGGCCAGCCCCACCCCCCAAGGCUAUAGCCCACCCGUUUUUGUGGCCUUUUUCCGAUAGACGAACUUGGCUCCCCGACCUUCGGGUGGUUAUUUAUGGGCGCGGCUUUGUCCGUGGCCUAUUUUUGGCACACGGAGGCCCCUCGCAAAGUCUCGCGGCAUUCCGAGUCCGGCGGAAGAAGUUGGCCAGCCCCACCCCCCAAGGCUAUAGCCCACCCGUUUUUGUGGCCUUUUUCCGCUGGACGAACUUGGCGCCCCAGCCUUCGGGCGGUUAUUUUUGGGCGCGGCUUUGCCCGCGGCUUAUUUUUGGCACACGGAGGCCCCUCGUAAAGUCUCGCGGCAUUCCGAGUCCGGCAGACGAAGUGGGCCAGCCCCACCCCCCAAGGCUAUAGCCCACCCGUUUUUGUGGCCUUUUUCCGAUAGACGAACUUGGCUCCCCGACCUUCGGGUGGUUAUUU